GUAGCUGGGGAAAGGCGCGUUAGCGCCGUCCUGAGAUGAGCCUGCGGCUGAUUAGCUAGUUGGUGGGGUAAGAGCCUACCAAGGCGACGAUCAGUAGGGCGGCCUGAGAGGGUGAACGGCCACACUGGGACUGAGACACGGCCCAGACUUCUACGGAAGGCAGCAGCUAAGAAUCUUCCGCAAUGGUCGAAAGACUGACGGAGCGACGCCGCGUGGGUGAAGAAGGCCGUGAGGUUGUAAAGCCCUUUUCUUGCUGAAGAAUAAUGUGGGGAGGCAAUGCCCCGCGGAUGACGUUAGGCAAGGAAUAAGCCCCGGCCAAUUACGUGCCAGCAGCCGCGGUAACACGUAUGGGGCGAGCGUUGAUCGGAAUUAUUGGGCGUAAAGGGCGCGUAGGCGGUACGGCAAGCCUGGUGUGAAAGGCCACAGCUUAACUGUGGUUACGCGCUGGGAACUGUCGUACUAGAGUUCAGGAGGGGAAGCUGGAAUUCCUGGUGUAGGGGUGAAAUCUGUAGAUAU
Molecule: ribosomal RNA, 516 nt
Filed under: uncultured organism
Description: bacterial SSU rRNA
Rfam family: Bacterial small subunit ribosomal RNA
Source: RNAcentral